GUCCAUAUGAUUGAGAGACUUGAGCAAUUUUAUCCAUCAGUAGGUAAGCUAGGCUUAUUCUUAUGUUUCCUUUCCUAUGACUCAUCAUCUGUUUUGGCCAAACAAUUCAUUGUUUUUGUAUCUUUCUUCUUCUUUUGAUUGAUAUGUAUCGGGAACUCACUUUCUUUUGCUUAAGGGCUCCAUCUGCAUAUGUUUUUAUCUAAAGUUUCCCGUAAUAAUUAGAUAAGAUGUCCUAAAUUUGGUACUUUGUUUCAUCACUUGCUUUUGUUCGUUUCUGUUUGCUACAUGAGACAAAACUGAUAUGCCCAUCAUCAAGAUUUAGAUUUACUGCUGUUUUUUUCCGAUGAACAUUGCUCUUGUGGGCUUAGUUUGCAAAUCUUACAGUUGCCCUUUGCAAUGAUAAAAAGUUGUAUGAAGUUUCAAGUUAGUGUUGAAAUGAUUACUUUAUUUUGUCGAAAAAAGUUUGGCAAUCUUAAGCAUAAUCACAUGAUGUGUUUGGCGUUUCACAAAAAUGACAAAGGAGGGACGUCUCUACUCCACUCGCAUGCCCAUCCCAAAUACCCAUCACGGAGGACCCAAAUACCCAUCACAGAGGAGGGACGUCUCUACUCCACUCGCAUGCCCAUCCCAAAUACCCAUCACGGAGGACCCAAAUACCCAUCACAGAGGAGGGACUAGAAAUGCUGGAAUAGACAGUUACUUUUUUUUUUUUUAAACUGAUUAAGCAUCAGAUAUAUAUACAACUACACAGGUAUAUAUACAUGGGACUUAUAUUAUUACAUUUUUAUUACUCCACUCGCAUGCCCAUCCCAAAUACCCAUCACGGAGGAGGGAUGUCUCUACUCCACUCGCAUUUCGCAUUCGCAAGGAAGAAAGACAUUUAUAGAAAUCAAUACAUGGGACUUAUAUUAUUACAUUUUUAUUCUAUGAAGUACAUGCUCAUUCCAAAUACCCAUCACGGAGGAGGGAUGUCUCUACUCCACUCGCAUUUCGCAUUCGCAAGGAAGAAAGACAUUUAUAGAAAUCACCACACAAUUAUGUUUAAUUGGAGGAGGUUGAGUCCGUGGGGACUCGAACCAUUGCCCUCAUGGUCAUGCUUAACUUUUAGGGUAAUGGUCCACCACUGGACUACAAGUCCAAGUGGCGAAUAGACAGUUACUUACAAUUAUUUUAUGAUGUUGAUGUGAUUCAUCUUUACAAGUAAUGCAUGUACGGACCCA
This 1220-nucleotide long non-coding RNA is filed under the name Citrus sinensis (sweet orange). RNAcentral describes it as "long non-coding RNA (CSIN_LNC002904)". The record is from RNAcentral. Lineage: Eukaryota; Viridiplantae; Streptophyta; Magnoliopsida; Sapindales; Rutaceae.